RNAcentral lists this unclassified non-coding RNA (2737 nucleotides) under Haliotis rubra (blacklip abalone). RNAcentral's name for it is "programmed cell death protein 5-like, transcript variant X1". Lineage: Eukaryota; Metazoa; Mollusca; Gastropoda; Lepetellida; Haliotidae. The record is from RNAcentral.
AAUGAUCGUUCCGCAGCUCAAGUUUUCAACUUUGUAGAACCGCUUAUUCUAGAAUCAUGGCUGACGACGAUUUGGAAUCAAUCCGUGCUCGCCGCAUGGCCCAGCUUCAGCAACAAUAUGGGGGAUCUGGUGGUGGGCCCUCUCAAGAAGAGCAGCAGCAGGCUCAGAAACAGGCUCAGGAUAUGAAGAAUUCCAUCCUCAGUCAGGUGCUGGACCAGUCUGCCAGGACUAGAUUAAACACAAUAGCCGUGGCAAAACCUGAGAAGGCACAAAUGGUGGAGAACCUCCUUGUACAGAUGACACGUACAGGACAGAUUCAGACAAAGCUCGAUGAGCAUCAACUGAUUGGUCUUCUGGAGAAAGUGAGUGAACAGACUCAGAAGAAGACAACAGUCAAGUUUGACCGGCGAAGGUGUCAGAUGGAUGAUUCAGAUGAUGACAUGUAACUGAAAGAACUGUGAGAAGAAGUUGAGAAGAUUGUAACACUGACCCAGAGCACGCAAGAUGGCACCUCAUCUGUGUUCAGGCAGCAAACUACCUGUGAUAUUCACAGGGCAUUCUGAUUGGACAGUUUGACCUUAGCCCCUGGAAACUGUCAAGUGCUUCUCUAUUUCCCAUUGGGCAUUUAAAUAUCCAUGGUAACCAGUAUCAACCACAUGUGAAUUAUGCAAUGAUAAUGGAUGGUUUAGUAUUGAAUAUAUUGGAGCUCUGCAGAUGUUAUAUCAUAUGAAAUUCUCCAGUACUUUUAAUAGAUCAGCUUGCAUUAUUUGAAAAGUAUAUAUCAUCUUAUAGAUGAUGUAACAAGACUUCCAUUGUUAUGGACAUUGUAAUUUAUUUCCUGUCUCGAAUAAGUUCUCUUGUGGGUGAGCCCAUACCGCCAUCUCUUGUGGAUGAGUCCAUUCUGCCAUCACUUCUGGGUGAGUCCAUUCUGCCAUCACUUGUGGAUGAGUCCAUUCUGCCAUUACAAUUAUUCCAGGUAUCCUGCUCUACAUCUGUAUCCAGCACUGCCAUGUUGUCCAUCUAAUUGUACAUCAAAACCACUCUGCAGCUUGUGUACAUGUACUCAUAGCCACUGUAUUGUGAAUAAGGGUACUUGACAUGUCUGUAACAAUACGUACCGCCAUCACCUGUGAAUACAUUUGUCCAAUUUGCAGUCUGUUUUUAACUUACUAAUCUAAAUUUCUUGUGCAAUAUCUGGAUAGCAUUGCAACCAUUUGCUAUACACAUUGCUCUGAUAUGAAUCAGCAUAGGCUCCAAACAAGCAUAGGCUCCAAACAAGCAUAGGAGCCAAACCAGCGUAGGCUCCAAACCAGCAUAGGAUCCACACCAGCAAGAAGAGGUGAGAAGUGAAAUUUUAUUAGCUGCCUCAAUACAGGCACAUGUCACCAUUAUACUACAGAGCUGUUGUAUUCAUAGGUGAUCGAGGAACAUAUUCCAAAGCUUCAAAGUAUUGACUAUGCACCAUUGUAUGAGAGAUGAAGUUAGUUCAGAGGUAUCAUUGUCAUGAUUAUUGGUUUAGUCUCCUUGUGUAUAAUGUCCUGGGGGGACUAGCAGGUGCCGCUUUACUCAGUGAGUCAGUCUCAGAAAUACAAAGUAUAUGUUGUGUAUAAUGGCACCUAGCUCAUUUGACAAAUUGUUCAGUGGUGGGCUAUUGAGUGACCGCUGCCUCACUCAUUACCGGAUUCCUGAGAUUAAUGUCAGUCGUGUGAGCCAGUAGGGAAUGGUACCAUUCAUACACAACUCUUUUUUAUUACUAUUUCUGCUGGAAUAGUUAUUGUAAUGGCGAUAAUUUGUGGCACUGGAUAAAUCUGGAAGUUGGUUAUGAUUGCAAAUUUAAGUAAUUCUACAUUCAGUAUUUCAGUUAAUGUAUGAGGUGAUUGCCUUGGUAACACGAUGUAUGAUUGUCUGAAUCAGAAUGUCAUCAAACUUUGUUCAUGCUGUUAACCACUGGUUUGUCCGGACCAGAUUUGGACAAGAGCAUGCCACUGUGAUGUAAAACAACAUUCACCAUGGUUACCUGUUUUUUCUUCGUUCACAAGUUCUGUCUAUAGUUGGUAAUUUUCUCAGCUUGUCCAAAAUAGAAAAGGAUUAUUGAGUGUAUAUGGUGUAUGGAACAUUUUAUAUAUUUUCAUACAUGAUUCAUGUAUUUUACAGUGCUAAUGGGAAAAACCUCAAGCCAUGCCUUGUAUACCCUGAAUAAUAGAAAUAAAGCAGUACUUGUUAUUAUGGGAGUUGUCACCAGCCUAGCAGUAGCAGUGUCUGCCCAUCUCGCUGAAGGCCUGGGUUUAAUUCCCCACAUGUGAAACCCACUGGUGCUGUUCCUUGCAUUUUAGGGGCGGUGGGAUGGCCCAGUGGUUAAAGCGUUCGCUCGUCACGCCGAAGGUCCGGGUUCGAUUCCCCACAUGGGUACAACUUGUGAAGCCCAUUUUUGGUGUCCCCCGUCGGGAUAUUGCUGGAAUAUUGCUAAAAACGGCAUAAAACCAUACUCAGCCAGUCAGCUUUUCAUUCUAUUGCUGGAAUAUUAUUAAAAGUUGGUUUAAAAGCAUGCUUCCACAUUCAAGUCAAUAUUUUAAUCUGCUUUAGUAUUUUAAAGAAACCUUAUGAGUGGUACAUAUCUCUGAAUGCCAGUAGUCUACCUGAUAUCCAUGUAAAUUUACAUGCUAUGUAUGUGUGCCAUUUCAUUGUUCCAUAUUGUUUGAUGAAGAUAUUACAGCCCUAAUAAAUAUGCUUUGUCAUA